RNAcentral lists this ribosomal RNA (779 nucleotides) under uncultured bacterium. RNAcentral's name for it is "bacterial SSU rRNA". It matches the Rfam family "Bacterial small subunit ribosomal RNA", at positions 8 to 782 of the family's 1533-position model. The record is from RNAcentral.
AGAGUUUGAUCCUGGCUCAGACUGAACGCUGGCGGCAUGCCUUACACAUGCAAGUCGAACGGCAGCGCGGACUUCGGUCUGGCGGCGAGUGGCGAACGGGUGAGUAAUACAUCGGAACGUACCCUGUUGUGGGGGAUAACUAGUCGAAAGAUUAGCUAAUACCGCAUACGACCUGAGGGUGAAAGUGGGGGACCGCAAGGCCUCACGCAGCAGGAGCGGCCGAUGUCUGAUUAGCUAGUUGGUGGGGUAAAGGCCCACCAAGGCGACGAUCAGUAGCUGGUCUGAGAGGACGAUCAGCCACACUGGGACUGAGACACGGCCCAGACUCCUACGGGAGGCAGCAGUGGGGAAUUUUGGACAAUGGGGGCAACCCUGAUCCAGCAAUGCCGCGUGUGUGAAGGAGGCCUUCGGGUUGUAAAGCACUUUUGUCCGGAAAGAAAUCGCGCUGGUUAAUACCUGGCGUGGAUGACGGUACCGGAAGAAUAAGCACCGGCUAACUACGUGCCAGCAGCCGCGGUAAUACGUAGGGUGCGAGCGUUAAUCGGAAUUACUGGGCGUAAAGCGUGCGCAGGCGGUUUUGUAAGACAGGCGUGAAAUCCCCGGGCUUAACCUGGGAAUUGCGCUUGUGACUGCAAGGCUAGAGUGCGUCAGAGGGGGGUAGAAUUCCACGUGUAGCAGUGAAAUGCGUAGAGAUGUGGAGGAAUACCGAUGGCGAAGGCAGCCCCCUGGGACGUGACUGACGCUCAUGCACGAAAGCGUGGGGAGCAAACAGGAUUAGA